UGACCCAGGAGCAUCCUCUCCGUGUGUGUGUGUGUGUGUGUGUGUAGCGUACACGCUUCCUUGUAUCCGCAGUCAGGCUCUACCGGGUUUUGUUGGACCUGGGCGCAGGGUCUGGGGACACCACACAGCCCCUGGUGCAACUCAGGCAAAGUUUACAGCAAGUGAAGAGAUGUUUGAAAACACGUCUCAGUGUUACUGAUCAUUUCCACGUGCAGACGUGUCUACACACACCUGGGGACAGUGCCCCACCAGAAGGGGUGUGGUGUGAUGUGGAUUAGGGAGAUGAUUUAGGUGACUCACACCUCAGAAAGAUUUCUUAUGACCUUAUGCCUAAUGGGGGACAAGGACUAAAGAAAUUCUGUCGGGGAAGUCAUGACAUUUGAAUAACUUUAUUACUGAGUUUCAGAAAUAUUCAUGCAGGUUUGGAAUGUGGGUCUUUCUGGAGUGUGUGUGUGUGUGUGUGUGUGUCUGAUUUGCCUUCCCGAUUGUACUUGGCAUGGGUCCCUUCCUCCCCAGGAGCCAGACUGUCUUAUUGAUAGUGUGCUUGGCAUUGCAGUCUGCCUGGAAUAAAUCAGAUUCUCAAUUGUCAGAAAGAUUUAGAUUGUGUUGUGUCGUCCUCUGCUGCUUUUGUGAAAGUGGAACCAGAAAUGUGUCUUCAGGCUAUAAUUCAUUUGGUACUUUGGGAGCCCUAAAAUCACGCAAAAAUACGGCAAUUGGUGGAAAGAUAAGUAGCUCAGGAUUUGACGGCCGCUGAGAAACAUUAUUGGCAGGUCUAAGGCAACGUUGUCCAGUGAUAUAUAAUGCAAUGGGCAAAUGUGAACCAUGUAUGUGAUUUUGAAUUUUCUAGUAGCUACAUUAAAAGAAAAAAAGAAAAUAGGCAAAAAUAAUUCUAAAAAAUUGUACUUCAUUUUACUCAGUAUAUCCAAAGUGUUGUCAUUGCGACAGGUACUCAGCCUCCAAGAAUUAUUGAGACAUUUUACAUUCUUUGAUUGGUACUAAGUCUCAGAAAUCAAGAGUGUAUUCCGCACUCACACCUGUGUCAGUUUGGACUGGCCACGUUUCAGGUGCUCACUGGGCUUGGACAGUGUGGGCCUAAGGGCAUUGUUGCCUUCUUCAGCUACAGUGAAGCAAUGCCAGUUACAGAAACCAAAAAUGGAUCUCGGGAAGGAAUCAUGAGCUGCCUGCCGGCUGAAACCAGGGCCAUGGGUGCUUUUGGCUUCAUUAACAGCUCUCCUCUGUGUAAUGGUCACGG
This is a long non-coding RNA of Aethalodelphis obliquidens (Pacific white-sided dolphin), 1252 nucleotides long. RefSeq lists it as uncharacterized. NCBI's taxonomy places the organism in Eukaryota, Metazoa, Chordata, Mammalia, Artiodactyla, Delphinidae. The transcript is spliced from 2 exons. The record is from RefSeq and is a predicted model, not a curated record.